Non-coding RNA from Pimephales promelas (fathead minnow), 763 nucleotides. The record is from RefSeq and is a predicted model, not a curated record. NCBI's taxonomy places the organism in Eukaryota, Metazoa, Chordata, Actinopteri, Cypriniformes, Leuciscidae.
UUUUAUUUUUAUUUUUAUUUUAAUUACUAUUUUGUUUUCGCGGAGUGGUGAAAAUAAUUCAUUGCGUCGAUGGGUGCUGACGUCACAUGCGCGCCAGAUCAUUGAAGAGAGAGACGUGAGCCACAUGUGUGAGCUCUCGUUAAUCAAAUCCAUCGUCAUUAAUAUUGUUCUAAAUCGAUGUCUGAACUGUUUCAUUGUAUUAGUUGGGAUUGUUUCAACGCUCUGGGAUCGUGUUUGAGUUGCGCCGUGAGGGAGAAAGCGCUGGAUUUCCACUGGAGGAAUUGCGUCAUCAGGGACUCUUCACUCAAGUGACUCUUCACUCAAGAAACUCUUCACGUUCGGCUUUCAUCACUGCACGGAGUUUAGUAGGCACUUACGCAAACAAACAAACCCAACUGAGUCAUUUUCACUUUCACGCGAACUGAGUCAUUUUCACUUUCACGCGAACUGAGUCAUCUCCAUCUUCUCAAUGAACUGAGUCACAUUUCGAACAAAUUGAACCGAGUCACUUUACGAACAAAUUGAACUGAGUCACAUUCCAAUGAAUCUGAACUUAGUCAUUUGCAUGGCACUUAUACUGCUGUGAACACGAACUGAAUUUUCUUUAUUUUUUAUUUUAUUUUUCUUUUAUAUAUUUUAGUGUCCUUUGAUUGGUCAUUGUUUUUUUUUGUUUUUUUCGAAAUGGUGAUUUGUCAAAUGGGAUUCUAAUGUGAUGUGUGAAAAGCGAUUCGUGCGCAAUGACAUUCAAGUAAACAGUUACUGU